CAAACAACAUAUUUGAGUAUGAAAGCAUAAACACAGCAAAUAGAUUAAGGGAAAGAAAGGAUCUCUUCACUGUAUUAAGAUCUGAUUGAAACUCUGAAAAUAAUCGAUAAAUAGCUUAUAUCUCUCAGUAAUAGGGUUUGCAGAAAACUUGGUAAUGAAAACUAGAUGAUGAAAACUUAGGUCUAAACAAUGUAUAUAAACCCUAAAAACAUCCAGGGACUAAUAAUGAAAAUAGGGCAAAUUUCUUCUUCUGUAAACUCGAAAGCGCCUAGGACUUUUGCUGGGUCUAAACUGGUGUCGAUCGACACAAAGAGUGUGUCGAUCGACACUCCUCGCUGAUUCCUGAAUCCAAAAUCGUCCUUAGCUUCCUUUCCUUUAGCUCUUGCUCCAAAAUGUCUCCUUAUCUCUGUUGUUGUCUCGUUGUUUAGUAUACCUGAAAAGACACUAAAAGACUCGAGAAAUAACAUAAAGACUCAAAAUCCCAUACCUAAAACAUAGAUAAAAUCAGUGAAAAGCGGGUUAUAUCAAUCACUCCUAAUAAUGUAUAAUAAUGGGGUCAUGGAAAACUUUUCUACCCCUAUACACUACCAAAAUCAUAUCAAUCUCUUGUUUUU
Molecule: small RNA, 614 nt
Filed under: Arabidopsis thaliana (thale cress)
Lineage: Eukaryota; Viridiplantae; Streptophyta; Magnoliopsida; Brassicales; Brassicaceae
Description: ATSL206240
Source: RNAcentral